Molecule: ribosomal RNA, 678 nt
Filed under: uncultured archaeon
Lineage: Archaea
Description: bacterial SSU rRNA
Rfam family: Archaeal small subunit ribosomal RNA
Source: RNAcentral
CAACUACCCUGGUGGAGAGGAUAACCUCGGGAAACUGAGGAUAAGACCUCAUAGGUGCCCGACGCUGGAAUGCCCGGGCACCGAAACGCUCCGGCGCCACAGGACGUGGCUGCGGCCGAUUAGGUUGACGGUGGGGUAAAGGCCCACCGUGCCCAUAAUCGGUACGGGUUGUGAGAGCAAGAGCCCGGAGAUGGACUCUGAGACACGAGUCCAGGCCCUACGGGGCGCAGCAGGCGCGAAACCUUUACACUGUACGAGAGUGCGAUAAGGGGAUCCCAAGUGCCCGCGCCUAGCGUGGGCUUUUCCGAACCGUAAAAUGGUUCAGGAAUAAGGGCUGGGAAAGACCGGUGCCAGCCGCCGCGGUAACACCGGCAGCUCGAGUGAUGGCCGAUUUUAUUGGGCCUAAAGCGUCCGUAGCCUGCCGUACGGGUCCGUCGGGAAAUCCGCCCGCUCAACGGGCGGACGUCCGGCGGAAACCAUACGGCUUGGGACCAGAGGACCCGAGGGGUACGUCGGGGGUAGGAGUGAAAUCCCGAGAUCCUCGACGGACCGCCGGUGGCGAAAGCGCCUCGGGAAGAUGGAUCCGACGGUCAGGGACGAAAGCUUGGGUCUCGAACCGGAUUAGAUACCCGGGUAGUCCAAGCUGUAAACGAUGCUCGCUAGGUGUGGCGUAGGCUA